UCCCACCAGGUGCAACCAUGUAUGUGGCCCUCCAUGAUAGCUUUCCCUUGCUUGGAUAGGUCAGUAACAAUGAGAUCUAUUUGCCUUUUACCUGAGUCUUUGUUUUGUGUCUGCCACUAUAAAGUAAUAAUCAUGCCUAAUAUCAUAUAAUUAUGAAGCAAAUGGUAGGUGUUGUAUCCAGAAUAUAUACCCUCAAUGUAUAUUUUUGGAUAAAUAGCUAUUGGGAAUAUUUUAUAGAUCAUUUUUGUAUUGGGUAAGUUUUACAUUUUUUAUUCAGUGCUAUUAUUCUCUGAAGAGCUAGAAAAGCCAUGAAUACAAAUAUUAAAGAACAUAUGUAUUGUAUUCUUUCUUUUGUAGCAACUUUGACCUGCAAAGUUGUUAUAAAACUACUCUGUCAUAAAAAUCUGGCUGUGCAUCAGCCCUACCUAUUAAGAUUUGAAAACACUGGAGGCCAAGACUGUGCCUGAGUACUACUGUAUAAGUAACUCUAAAUGUCAUAUUAGGGCAAGUGCAUCUCUCAAGAUAUCCAUAGAUGAUUCUGAUAUACAGAUAGGGUUAAGAACCACUAACCUACAGGAUAAACUUCAAAUGCCAUUGCAUUGCAAGCAUGAUCUUCACAGUCUGGAUUAAUCUAUCUUUCUGAUAUACUUUCCUGCAUCUGCUAUUAUACCCUUUGUAGCAGUUUUAUAGGACUUACUAUUCUCCAGACACCAAAUAUUUUUUCUCCUCCUGGUUGUUCCAUAUGUUUUUGCUUGUUUGUUGUUGUAUUUGAUUUUUUUGUUUGUUUGUUUUAGCAGAGACUGACUUACAUCCCUUUUGGGAUGUAAGACCCAGUGGUCUUCCUCUGCUUCUCUUUAGAAAGUCCACCCAAGAGAUCUAUAUAUGGAUCUGUGUAUUUUUUUUUAUGCAGCAUGUUUCAUGUUUCCCUCAUUUUCUCUAUUUAAUACUUUAGAAGAAGUCUUAUUUAUUUGAGACUCUAUAAUUAAAAAAAACAUAUCUUCAAUAUUUAACUUACAUCUCAAAUUUAUCCACUUUAGUACUCAUGGCAUGAUUUUAUUGAUUAAAUGUAGGAAGCAUAUAUUAUGUUCUUAUUAAGAAUUCAGUGUGGUGUAGAAUCCUGAAGAGAUAUUUCCAUGUAAGAAAGGGUAGUAAGUCUUAGGCUUCUGGCUAAGAUGGAGUAUCAUGCCUUUAGGGAGACUUUUGUUAUUUUAGCUUAUCACCUUGAGUUUCUGGUUGUGGCACAUAGAAGGAGAACUCAGUCAAAGCCUAGUGAUAGGGUGACAUAUGUGGCCUGAUUUGCCCUAGGUUCUCAGUUCUAAGUGAAUUAGUAUGCUUGGUUCUUACAGUUGAGGAAGCAGACUUGACAGUUUGAGGAGACCAAAAUGAUGCAAGUUCACAAAACUGAUAGUACAGAGGAGAAAGUUGCAUGGAAAGAAAACUUCAGAGACUAAUAAAGGGUCCUUUUGAAUACUCAACUGAAUACUGAUCAGUGCAUUCAUAUGAGAAAACUUCAUGAGGCUAGAGAAAGAACCAUCCAGAUGGGAUGAGAAAGAACAGUGACCAGUGAAUGCAGGGCAAGGAAUAACAUCUGCUUUCAUCAGGCAGAUGCAAAAAAAUCAUGAUUCAUAGAAGGCUAAAUAGAAUGUAUUUAAGGGUUUUACUUCAUUAGUGGAGGAUACAGAGGCCUAGACUGCACCCUACCCUGAUCCUACAUACCACAUUUUAAAAGCCAGACCUAAAAAAUAUCAACUUGUCUCUGAGUGAUCUCUACGCCCAACAUGAUCUCGGGCUUAAAACCCUGAGAUCAAGAAUCAUAUGCUAUACUGAUUGAGCCAGCCAGGCACCUCCCACCCAGGAUCAAAUUGUUUCUAAGAAAUUGAAAUGCAUUCUAGAAUAAAAGCCAAGAAUACUCAUUAUAAAUAUAUCCACCAUCAAACAAGGUAGAAUUUAUAUUAUUUAGCUUUCAAUUUAAAAAAUCACCAUGCAUGAAAAAUAUCAGGAUUACACAAUCCAUACUGAUGAGAAAAUUCAAUGAUUUGAAGCAAAAUCAGAACUGACACGGAUGUAAAAAUUAGCAGACAUGAACAUAUUCUGAAAGUUAUGGCAUACAGAAACGAUAAGAAAACACCUAAAUCAAGUUUCUAGAGGUCAAAGCUACAGUAUUUUUAGAUGAAAACUAAAUUAGAUAGGAUUCCAAAUAAAUUUGUCAUUGCAGAAGAAAAGAAAAUUUGAAAAUACAGCAAUAAAAACUAUAGAAGGUCAAAAAAGGAAGAAGAAAAGAAGGAGGGAAGGAAGGAAGGAAGGAAAAGAGGAGGCAGGAUGAAACAGCACUAAUGAACUUAGAGAUAUCUUCAUUGGCCUAACAGAGGUUGUCAAAAAUUUUUGAAGAGGUGGUUAAAAUUUUUUAAAAUUUGAGGAAAACUGUAAAAUUGCAUACUUAAGAGGCUCAACAAACACCUAAGUACAAGGAACAUGAAGAAAACUAAACCAAAUUACCUCAUUAUAAAAUUGUUUUAAAGCAAUGAUCAAAAAACAAAUCAUAUUUCACUUCUUUAUGGAUCUCAAGAAAUUGCAGAAAUUUAAAACAUGAUGAUGGGAUACAGAGUGAUUAGAUUGUUCCUUUAGAUCAGAAAUGGGGAGGAUCACUGAGGAGGUGACCUCUAAACAGAUAUUUAUAGGAGGGUCCAGGCCUUGAAGACCUGAGGACAUAAUUUUUGAUGUUCUAAAGGCAGAAAUAAACUUUACAUAUUAGAAAAACAGAAAGGUGGCCAACAUGACUGCAAUUUGUGAAUAGAAUAGAAGGUAAGGGGAAGAGUAAGACAGAAUCCAGAUUGUGUAGAGAUUUAUCAGUUUAUAAACAUUUCCGAUACAAGCUUGUAGAAUUUCCUUUUAUUCUAAAUGCAAGGAAAUGUCCUUGAAGGACUUUAACCAAGGGCAUGACAUGAUAAUGACUUAAUUAAAAAGGUUCUUUGGAGGGCAAGAGUGGAAAAAGGGAGUCAAGCUGCUACUGGAAGUCAGGGAACCAAAAGGAAAUCUAUUAAAAUUAUGAAAAAUGGUUUUAGGAAUAGAAAUAGUAAAGAAGACCAUGAAAAAAGAAUCCUGGAGGGGAAAAGGCACACUAUGUACAGAGUAACAAGAAUGAGACAGACAGCAGACUUCUCCUUGUAACAGGUACAUUGGAGGAAAGAGUGGGGCCCAUCUACAAAUUACUGAAAUUUCAGGGAAAAAAAUGUCAAUCUAGAAUUUUUACCUGGCAAAAUUAUCUUUCUAAAACAAAAUAAAAUGGAAACUUUUUUGGACAUAAAGAAAUGUGACAUUUGACAAAACCAUAAAUGAAUUUUUAAUAAAAUAUCACAUCUAACUAUGGGUAAAGGGCAUCUUAAAAACCUAUGGCUAGGGAAGAAAGGAAGAUGGUGGCAGAGUAGUAAGACUCUAGGCUCAACUCAUCCCACAAACACAAUUAGAUAACUAUCAAAUCAUCCUAAACAUCCCAGAAAUAAACCCAAAAACUGAUAGAACAAAGUCCACAACUAAAGAGAGAGAAGAUGCCACAUCAAAGAAUGUAGGCAAUGUGGAGGAAGAAGCUACCUACAGGAAGAAGCUCAGCAUGGACACUGGCUGCCUAUUUGGAUACACCAAGCACCAUUACCCUGUGAUCUGGAGGGAUUGCCCUUGCCUCUGUCAAGCUUGCCUCAGUCCCAGAACAUCAGGCCCCUCCUGCAGAAGACCAGCACAGACCCCUGCGCAGACCAUGUCUCCUGACCAAAGAGUUCUGCAGGGCCUCAAUUCUGGUGGAGUUGAUGUCAAGUCUCAUUUCAUAAGUAGACCAAAGCACACUUAAAACUCACCACAUUCAGGCCACAGACCAUACACUGCCCACAGCAGGCAAGGAGAGCUUCAAUAACCAGGAUGGAUAGAGCAGCUAUAACACAAAAGCAGAACACACACAGCACACACUGGAGACAUUUCCUGAAGUGCCAGGCCCUGGGCACUACAUGACCUCUACUUCAUAAGGCCAUUACUUUCAGGAGCAGAAGACAUUACUAGCCUUUCUAUAUAGCAAAAAGGCAGAGAUUUAGAGAAAAUGGCAAGAUGGGGGAAUUUAUCACAAAUAAGAGAACAAGAUAAGGCAAUGGCCAAGAGGUUUAAGGGAAACAGAUAUAAGUAACAUCUGAUGGAGAAUUUAAAGCAACAAUCAUAAUGAUAGUCAUUGGGCUUGAGAAAAGAAAAGAGGACAUCAGUAAGACCUUUACCACAGAGAUAUUAGAGUUAAAAAA
This 4277-nucleotide long non-coding RNA is filed under the name Canis lupus familiaris (dog). RNAcentral describes it as "lncRNA (ENSCAFG00845012361.1)". The record is from RNAcentral. Lineage: Eukaryota; Metazoa; Chordata; Mammalia; Carnivora; Canidae.